Long non-coding RNA from Hyla sarda, 808 nucleotides. RefSeq lists it as uncharacterized. Lineage: Eukaryota; Metazoa; Chordata; Amphibia; Anura; Hylidae. The transcript is spliced from 3 exons. The record is from RefSeq and is a predicted model, not a curated record.
CUCAGGGGAGAUGACAUGAUAGAGCAGACACUCCAUGAUCUCCUGGGGCUUCGCUCUGUACUGUGAGUAGUGAUCACACUGAGGCUCCGUGCAUCACAGGAAAUCACAGAAGCACGUCAGAUCCGGGACGGUUGGGAGUGAGGGGCCGAUGCUGGACACUGUAGGCGCGCGGGAAUGUGAAGUUGAAUACAUCACUGUGAUUGAUGCACUAUUUCCAGGAUGUGGAGUAGCAUUUCCGGACUAUCAAGACGUUGUAAUAAGGCACAUAUUUCCGGACUUACAGCAAGAAGUUGGAUGAAGGCAUAAACCCUCGAAUCACGCACAUACACAGACACUUUGCCCAAAUUCUAGAGGUAACCUCCUUUAGUAUGCCCAGAGGAAGGGCAAUACAGUAGCCAUGGAUUCCCUACAGGUUUCCUCCCCUCUGGAGGUUUUUCCUGUCCUGAGUUAGCUACUGUAUGCUCUUUGUGAGUGAUGGAAGGUUACAUAAAUCCCUACACAAACAUUUUAAUAAAUAAUAAAGUUCCCCUGUUUUUAAACCGUUCUUUGACUUUUUUGACUCAUUUAUUUUAUUUCUGUCUGUGAAAAAUUGUGAUUUUUUUUUUAAGUGUCCAAAGCAUGCCUCAGCAGGCAUCACGUGCAAACCCCUGGGGGGUCCUGAGAACCCCCCCCCCCCCAUGUCAGCGAUCAGUUCAAUUCAGACCGGCGAUCUGCGGCGAUUCCGGGUCAUACGGGUCUGCUAUUCCUGCUAUUGGUCGGUCAGAGACGACUGACCAAUAGCAGUUUGGGAGUGGGGGAGUUAGAGUUC